RNAcentral lists this ribosomal RNA (253 nucleotides) under uncultured bacterium. RNAcentral's name for it is "partial 16S ribosomal RNA". It matches the Rfam family "Bacterial small subunit ribosomal RNA", at positions 524 to 776 of the family's 1533-position model. The record is from RNAcentral.
UACGUAGGGUGCGAGCGUUAAUCGGAAUUACUGGGCGUAAAGUGUGCGCAGGCGGCAGAGCAAGUCGAGUGUGAAAGCCCCGGGCUUAACUUGGGAAUUGCGCUCGAAACUACUUUGCUGGAGUGUGGCAGAGGAAGGUGGAAUUCCACGUGUAGCGGUGAAAUGCGUAGAGAUGUGGAGGAACACCAAUGGCGAAGGCAGCCUUCUGGGCCAACACUGACGCUCAUGCACGAGAGCGUGGGGAGCAAACAGG